RNAcentral lists this long non-coding RNA (863 nucleotides) under Monodelphis domestica (gray short-tailed opossum). Its description in RNAcentral is "lncRNA (ENSMODG00000044166.1)". The record is from RNAcentral. Lineage: Eukaryota; Metazoa; Chordata; Mammalia; Didelphimorphia; Didelphidae.
AAUGAAUACCUCAUCUGCUGCCCCUAGGAGAUUAUGUACUACCAUGAUAGUGAGACUGUGAGACAACUACUGACUGCAGGAAGAUCAAUCAAAAGUUGCAAUCCAUUCAGGAACAACAGAAAGACUGCAGUGCCUUAUGUUACAUGAAGCCCUUGGCUGGAGGAACUAAAUGAUUUUUACAAACAUUGCUUCAAGAACAAAAAGGAUGCCAACAAAGAAAUGUGUGCCCAGGGAAGGAAGAUAGGCUGGCCAUGUGGUUGUUGUGAUGGAUUACCAACAGACAGCUGCCUAAAUGCUACAUCACUACCUUGUCAUGUCAGGAGAAGUUGAGGAAAAUCCCCAGUCUGGUGUGCAGGACCUGGCAUGACAAAGUUUUGAAAGGACAUGGACAAGAGUCAGAAUGGACAGGCAUGGAUGAGCUGUUAACGAUUUUCUGCAUUUGAGAAAAGCAGGAUGUGUCAUUUAUCUCUAAGAGACAUGGAUUAUUUUUCAUCAUUUCAUGAAGACUCAAAUGAUCAUGGCUAUAAAUUUUCAGAAAUUAAAAUAAGCAGUAAACUGAAAGAAAGCUAUGGACUACAGAAAUCAUGGGUCAAAGACAAGGUAUCUGUCACCAGUCCCUCAUGUAAAUGAAAAUGGGCAGAAUGACUUCAGCUCAAUUUGAACUUGACAUAUGGUGGACCCUAAACAUUGGAUGAUGACUGGAAGGCAAACAAGAAUGAGAAAAAAAUAAGACAAGGGUAAAUCCACAAGCAAACAAGUAUGAAUAAGAUUAUUAUGGGAUACAAAGGAAGAGACACUGUCAUAAAAGGAAUUUGCAAUAGAUGAGGCUGAAUAAAGGGAGGUACUGGAGUGACUAAUAUCCA